This is a long non-coding RNA of Protopterus annectens (West African lungfish), 434 nucleotides long. RefSeq lists it as uncharacterized. The transcript has 2 exons. Lineage: Eukaryota; Metazoa; Chordata; Ceratodontiformes; Protopteridae. The record is from RefSeq and is a predicted model, not a curated record.
GAUGGCAUCAGGAGUACCAGUUGUGGCACUACAGUGAGUUCACAGGGGUCUUGGGACGCUGUGGCUGUAGUUUGGAAUAGACGCAGAAAACGUAUGAAAACAGGAAAUCAUGCAGUGAUUCUCUACUACAGUGAGUCAUGAAAAAAGAAUAAAGCAAUCAAGAAUACAAGGCUGCAUUUUUGGCACUGUGACUCAAAAGGAUUGGAUGUAUUGGUAUAGACAGACAACAUCUCUCGGCUGUUAAAAAGUCUAGUAUUUAAUGUUUUGAUAUACAAAACAGAAGACAAGUAUCACAAAGAGAAAUAAAUAAUAUGUUAUGGAAGCUACUACAGCUACUGUAUAUAUAAACUGUCAACUCAGCACACAUAUGUUGAGAAAAAAAAAUAAUUGCAAAAUGAGUAUGAUGCUUCAGUUUUAUAAAUUAUGAUACCACA